This 254-nucleotide ribosomal RNA is filed under the name uncultured bacterium. RNAcentral describes it as "partial 16S ribosomal RNA". It matches the Rfam family "Bacterial small subunit ribosomal RNA", at positions 524 to 776 of the family's 1533-position model. The record is from RNAcentral.
CACGUAGGGUGCGAGCGUUGUCCGGAAUUAUUGGGCGUAAAGAGCUCGUAGGCGGUGUGUCGCGUCGGCCGUGAAAACCUGCAGCUUAACUGUGGGCUUGCGGUCGAUACGGGCAUCACUGGAGUUCGGCAGGGGAGACUGGAAUUCCGGGUGUAGUGGUGAAAUGCGUAGAGAUCCGGAGGAACACCAGUGGCGAAGGCGGCUUGCUAGGCUUGUUCUGACGCUCAGACGCGACAGCAUGGGGAGCGAACGGG